This 793-nucleotide ribosomal RNA is filed under the name uncultured bacterium. Its description in RNAcentral is "bacterial SSU rRNA". It matches the Rfam family "Bacterial small subunit ribosomal RNA", at positions 8 to 796 of the family's 1533-position model. The record is from RNAcentral.
AGAGUUUGAUCAUGGCUCAGAUUGAACGCUGGCGGCUGGCCUAACACAUGCAAGUCGAGCGGUAGAGAGAAGCUUGCUUCUCUUGAGAGCGGCGGACGGGUGAGUAAUGCCUAGGAAUCUGCCUGGUAGUGGGGGAUAACGUUCGGAAACGGACGCUAAUACCGCAUACGUCCUACGGGAGAAAGCAGGGGACCUUCGGGCCUUGCGCUAUCAGAUGAGCCUAGGUCGGAUUAGCUAGUUGGUGAGGUAAUGGCUCACCAAGGCGACGAUCCGUAACUGGUCUGAGAGGAUGAUCAGUCACACUGGAACUGAGACACGGUCCAGACUCCUACGGGAGGCAGCAGUGGGGAAUAUUGGACAAUGGGCGAAAGCCUGAUCCAGCCAUGCCGCGUGUGUGAAGAAGGUCUUCGGAUUGUAAAGCACUUUAAGUUGGGAGGAAGGGUUGUAGAUUAAUACUCUGCAAUUUUGACGUUACCGACAGAAUAAGCACCGGCUAACUCUGUGCCAGCAGCCGCGGUAAUACAGAGGGUGCAAGCGUUAAUCGGAAUUACUGGGCGUAAAGCGCGCGUAGGUGGUUUGUUAAGUUGGAUGUGAAAUCCCCGGGCUCAACCUGGGAACUGCAUUCAAAACUGACUGACUAGAGUAUGGUAGAGGGUGGUGGAAUUUCCUGUGUAGCGGUGAAAUGCGUAGAUAUAGGAAGGAACACCAGUGGCGAAGGCGACCACCUGGACUAAUACUGACACUGAGGUGCGAAAGCGUGGGGAGCAAACAGGAUUAGAUACCCUGGUAGUCC